This 459-nucleotide ribosomal RNA is filed under the name Triticum aestivum (bread wheat). Its description in RNAcentral is "partial small subunit ribosomal RNA". The record is from RNAcentral. Lineage: Eukaryota; Viridiplantae; Streptophyta; Magnoliopsida; Poales; Poaceae.
CGCAACUGGCCAGAGAGUAAGAAGUGUUGUUUUUGUACUCAUGACGAGACAAUUAAACACCUCUUUUUCCAAUGCAAGUUUGCACGUUCUACGUGGUGAAUCAUCCAAAUAGCGUCAAAUUUAUAUCCGCCCACAAGUGUUGCCAAUAUAUUUGGUCACUGGUUGGACGGUAUUCCAAAUAAGUUUAAAGCGCUUAUAAGGGUGGGAGCGUACGCCUUAAUUUGGUCGCUCUGGCUAUGUAGAAACGAUUUGGUUUUUAAUGGAAAAAAUGCUUCUCCUCUGCAGGUUAUUUUCCGUUGUACGCAAUCGCUUCAUACGUGGUCUAUGCUACAACGAUCGGAGCACCAAUCGUUGUUCAAGGCGGUGUGUACGCGGUUGAAGCAGGUGGCUACGGAGGUUUUUUCCCAACAUGGGUGGCAGCAUAAUCUCCGGGUCGAUCCACCACCACCUUCGACAUAG